RNAcentral lists this ribosomal RNA (468 nucleotides) under uncultured bacterium. Its description in RNAcentral is "partial 16S ribosomal RNA". It matches the Rfam family "Bacterial small subunit ribosomal RNA", at positions 28 to 507 of the family's 1533-position model. The record is from RNAcentral.
GACGAACGCUGGCGGCGUGCUUAACACAUGCAAGUCGAACGGAAAGGCCCUGCUUUUGUGGGGUGCUCGAGUGGCGAACGGGUGAGUAACACGUGAGUAACCUGCCCUUGACUUUGGGAUAACUUCAGGAAACUGGGGGUAAUACCGGAUAGGAGCUCCUGCUGCAUGGUGGGGGUUGGAAAGUUUCGGCGGUUGGGGAUGGACUCGCGGCUUAUCAGCUUGUUGGUGGGGUAGUGGCUUACCAAGGCUUUGACGGGUAGCCGGCCUGGGAGGGUGACCGGCCCCAUUGGGACUGAGAUACGGCCCAGACUCCUACGGGAGGCAGCAGUGGGGAAUAUUGCACAAUGGGCGGAAGCCUGAUGCAGCAACGCCGCGUGCGGGAUGACGGCCUUCGGGUUGUAAACCGCUUUCGCCUGUGACGAAGCGUGAGUGACGGUAAUGGGUAAAGAAGCACCGGCUAACUACGUG